Molecule: ribosomal RNA, 873 nt
Filed under: uncultured Acidimicrobiia bacterium
Lineage: Bacteria; Bacillati; Actinomycetota; Acidimicrobiia
Description: bacterial SSU rRNA
Rfam family: Bacterial small subunit ribosomal RNA
Source: RNAcentral
UUGAUCAUGGCUCAGGACGAACGCUGGCGGCGUGCUUAACACAUGCAAGUCGACGGAUGAACCCGGAGCUUGCUCCGGCGGAUUAGUGGCGAACGGGUGAGUAACACGUGAGUAACCUGCCCUUGACUCUGGGAUAACUGCUAGAAAUGGUAGCUAAUACCGGAUACGACCCUCGGCGGCAUCGCCAGGGGGUGGAAAGAUUUAUCGGUUUGGGAGGGUCUCGCGGCCUAUCAGCUAGUUGGCGGGGUAACGGCCCACCAAGGCAUCGACGGGUAGCUGGUCUGAGAGGACGAUCAGCCACACUGGGACUGAGACACGGCCCAGACUCCUACGGGAGGCAGCAGUGGGGAAUCUUGCGCAAUGGGCGAAAGCCUGACGCAGCAACGCCGCGUGCGGGAUGAAGGCCUUCGGGUUGUAAACCGCUUCCAGCAGGGAAGAAAUUGACGGUACCUGCAGAAGAAGCCCCGGCCAACUACGUGCCAGCAGCCGCGGUAACACGUAGGGGGCGAGCGUUGUCCGGAUUUAUUGGGCGUAAAGAGCUCGUAGGCGGUUCGGUAAGUCGGGUGUGAAACCUCCAGGCUCAACCUGGAGACGCCACCUGAUACUGCUGUGACUAGAGUCCGGUAGGGGAGUGUGGAACUCCUGGUGUAGCGGUGAAAUGCGCAGAUAUCAGGAAGAACACCAGCGGCGAAGGCGGCACUCUGGGCCGGUACUGACGCUGAGGAGCGAAAGCGUGGGUAGCAAACAGGAUUAGAUACCCUGGUAGUCCACGCCGUAAACGUUGGGCACUAGGUGUGGGUCUCAACCAACGAGAUCCGUGCCGCAGCUAACGCAUUAAGUGCCCCGCCUGGGGAGUACGGCCGCAAGGCUAAA